Molecule: long non-coding RNA, 455 nt
Organism: Haliotis rubra (blacklip abalone)
Lineage: Eukaryota; Metazoa; Mollusca; Gastropoda; Lepetellida; Haliotidae
Exons: 3
Source: RefSeq, a predicted model, not a curated record
CACAUUAUAGUGGCAGUCCUUGUGUUACGUGGAGGUUACACUUUAUAGUGGCAGUCCUGGUGUUACGUGGAGGUUACACUUUAUAGUGGCAGUCCUGGUGUUACGUGGAGGUUACAAAUUAUAGUGGCAGUCCUGGUGUUACGUGGAGGUUACACAUUAUAAUGGGAGUCCCGGUAUUACGUGGAGGUUACACACUAUAGUGGGAGUGCCGGUGUUACGUGGUGGUGACAGAUUAUAAUGGCAGUCCUGGUGUUACCUUGCGGGCAAUAUUCCACACGUUCUCAGCAUUAUUCACAGUCUCUGAAUCACCUAUAAUCCUGAUAUUGUUACGACUGAAUACUGUUCCGUAAUGCUCCGUUUUAUGGAGCCACAAUUUUCUCGUCUACCGUGGAUUCAAAUCUGCUACUUUCUUUUCAUGCUGCUUGUUGAAAAUAUGAGUAGCACACGAACUGUGA